UAUUGUUACUAAUGUUAUUUGUAUGACUUCAGCACCUGGAGUUCUCAGGUGAGACUGAUAAACAUGUAUUCCAACCUAGAAGUGUAUGCAAUCUGAGUAUGUCUUUAUGGAAGUACUGCAAUGACAGAAAGGUCUAAAUUAUGUUAUUACAUAUAAUUUAAUACAUUUUUUUUCCUGAGUGUGAAAGCAGAGCAUAUGCCAACAGCACUCUUAAAAGAAAUAUUUUUAUGUCAAUUUUAUGAUUCAGUGCUGUUGUGGUGGAGCUGUAGCAAAGAGUAUGUAAAAUUACAGAGAGGUAAUCUUCCUCCUGCCAGGUUAAGACAGAAUGCUUCUGUGAGAAGUUUUUACUAAGAUGCAGUCAUUUUGUUAUGAUCUAUUACUUAAGGACUGGUUUAAAUAUAAAUUAAGUUAUGGCAAGAAUAUAUGCGUAUUUCAAGUGACUGAUCAUUACAGUAACAGUGGGUAUGCAUACUAUUAUACUAACUCUACCUCCUCUCACACAUACCCCUUCUCAAAACUGACACUUUCAUUUUGUUAAUCUUUACCAAAGCCCCCUCACUUUUAUAAGAGGAAACCAUUCUAGAAGGGAAGAAUCAUCGUAAGAAGAGAAUAUUGGGUGGGUGGUUGGCUGGCUGGCCAGGCAGCUAUAAGGCCUGAUCCCUUUGUCUGUAUCUGGGCUACCAUAACAGUGCAAAAUGUACCUGGGAAGCGUACGUAAUGCAAAAAGGCUAUCUUGAUAGUGAAGAGAUGGCUUAAUAUGAAUAGAGUAGACCCAUCACACCUCCCGUAGUAUGGUAUUUAGCUGGAUUGCUGCUAUACUCUGACUCUUUCUGACGCAAAGAACAACCUUUUGGGCAUUCCUAGCCAAGAAUAGCCAAAAAUAAGUUACAGUAGUCUGAGGCUGCACUAAUUAACUGUAGAAGCCAGAAAUCAGGGAAAUUCAAAGAUCAGAAAAAAUGUUUUCAAGGCUAAAUCUACCUUCGUCCAUUUUCUGGUUCUGUUGUAACCAGAAUCGAGGGAGAAUAGAUAACUGGGUUCUGGAUAUUUUGAGACAUGGGCUGUUGUGUCAGGAAGCAUGCAUAAUGCAUUGCUAUGGUAAUGGUUACCACAGUUGGUAUCUUCUAUGGAAAAAAAUAAAUAAAUUCUGUAUAAAUGUAGUUAGCUUACAUAAGCAGCUGACUUUAGUCAGACGUGCCUUUUAGUCAUCUAUAAUAUCUUAGAACUUGUCAUAUUUUACAUUUUGUGUAGCAAAGGCAGCAGUUUGCAGAAGUGAUAGUUUAUAUAGUUGAAAAUGCAAGUUAUUACCCUGAACUGAGCUGGCUACUAAAGAAAGAGUCUUAUCUUCAUUAUGACAUACUAUACUUACAGUACAAUUAACUGCAGUAUCUGAUAACUGCUAAUGUGCCAAUAGUUGCAAGAAAUUCCAAUAACAGACUGGAAAGUACUUUUUAUGGUAUUUCUAAAAUUGAAAUCUCCAAAGUUACUUGGAAAAGACGCUUGUUCUGACAUCUUUAUUUGCUUUUCUCAUCCUCCAUUUCUCUUUUACACUUCUUUCUACUGCUGACUAUAGCCAUGGCUUAUCUGUUCCAGGUUCCAAACUGAGAUGAACAGCUUCCUGUCAAAUAAGCCAGUGCUACUGGAUGAAUUGACCUUGACAUGACUGCUGUGAUGCCAAAAGCCACAAGCUAAGUGGUAACAAUUGUUAGGUAAAAGAUCCUGAUAAAGCCUGGUGCUCCACCUAUGUUAGACAGCAUCUUACAAAUCAGCCUUCUCAGCCACUAUAACUUCUAAUGUUACCAUCAUGGGAUGGAUUGCUUUCCUGGCUUGACCUCUGACCUUCCUCAUCACCAUGAAGUUUUCUGGCAGCCCGG
Molecule: long non-coding RNA, 1871 nt
Organism: Athene cunicularia (burrowing owl)
Lineage: Eukaryota; Metazoa; Chordata; Aves; Strigiformes; Strigidae
Exons: 3
Source: RefSeq, a predicted model, not a curated record